AUGUCGGAGUCUAGCAGGGCGUUCAAUGUCGACGGCGCCGGGCAGCCGGCCGACGGGGCGCGGGGAGGAGGGAAGCGGCGCCCGGGCGCGGGCGGCGGCGGGAGCGUGCCGUUCCACAGGCUGUUCGCGUUCGCGGACGGCGCCGACGCGGCGCUGAUGCUGGUCGGCGCGGUCGGCGCGGUGGCCAACGGCGCCGCGCUGCCGCUCAUGACGGUUCUGUUUGGCGGCCUCGUCGACGCCUUCGGCGGCGCGGCCGGCGGCAGCGGCGACGUCCUGGCCCGCGUUUCCCAGGUCUCCCUCGAGUUCGUCUACCUCGCCAUCGCCUCGGCCGUCGCCUCCUUCGCCCAGGUGACCUGCUGGAUGAUCACCGGCGAGCGGCAGGCGGCGCGGAUACGGAACAUGUACCUGAGGACCAUACUCAGGCAGGAGAUCUCCUUCUUCGACAUGUACACCAGCACCGGCGAGGUCGUGGGGCGCAUGUCCGGCGACACGGUGCUCAUCCAGGACGCCAUGGGGGAAAAGGUCGGCAAGUUCAUCCAGCUGAUGGUGACGUUCUUUGGAGGCUUCGCUGUGGCCUUCGCGCAGGGAUGGCUCCUCACCCUCGUCAUGGUGGCCACCAUCCCGCCGCUCGUCCUCUCCGGCGCGGUCAUGUCCAAUGUCGUCGCCAGGAUGGCGUCGCUGGGGCAGGCCGCCUACGCCGAAGCCGCGGUCGUCGUCGAGCAGACCGUCGGCUCCAUCAGAACAGUUGCAUCUUUCACUGGGGAGAAGAAAGCGGUGGAGAAGUACAACAAGUCGCUUAAGUGCGCUUACAGUUCCGGUGUCCGGGAAGGCCUAGUCGCUGCCAUCGGCAUGGGCACCGUCAUGAUGCUCCUGUUCUGCGGCUACUCCCUGGGGGUAUGGUAUGGAGCCAAGCUGAUCCUAGAGAAGGGAUACACAGGUGCCCAGGUCAUGAAUGUCAUCUUCGCGGUGCUUACCGGCUCACUAGCUCUAGGACAGGCGUCACCAAGCAUGAAAGCAUUCGCAGGAGGACAGGCUGCAGCAUACAAGAUGUUUGAAACAAUCAACAGGGAGCCCGAAAUCGAUGCAUACAGCACAGAGGGUAGGAUGCUAGACGACAUUCAGGGGGAUAUUGAGUUCAGAGAUGUUCACUUCUCUUACCCAACAAGGCCCAAUGAGCAAAUAUUCAGAGGUUUCUCCCUUACCAUACAGAGUGCCAAAACCGUUGCAUUGGUUGGCCAGAGUGGGAGUGGAAAAUCAACAGUUAUCAGCUUGAUCGAACGAUUUUACGAUCCUCAGCUCGGAGAAGUUCUAAUAGAUGGAGUGAAUAUCAAGGAGUUGCAGUUAAAGUGGAUCAGAAGUAAAAUUGGCUUAGUGAGCCAGGAGCCGGCCUUGUUUGCUGCAAGCAUAAGAGAUAACAUAGCUUAUGGUAAAGACAAUGCGACAGAUCAGGAAAUCAGAGCUGCGGCUGAGCUUGCUAACGCCUCCAAAUUCAUUGAUAAAUUACCCCAGGGUUUCACUACAUCGGUUGGUGAACAUGGAACACAACUAUCUGGUGGACAAAAGCAAAGAAUUGCCAUUGCCAGAGCGAUUCUCAAAGAUCCAAGAAUCCUGCUUUUGGACGAAGCGACAAGCGCUUUGGACACCGAAUCUGAAAGGAUUGUGCAGGAGGCUCUUGAUAGGGUCAUGACAAAUCGGACCACUGUCAUAGUUGCACACCGUUUGACCACUGUAAGGAAUGCUGAUACAAUUGCUGUCAUCUGCCGAGGAUCAAUAGUUGAAAAAGGUCCACACCAUGACCUUUUGAGGGACCCAGAAGGAGCUUACAGCCAACUGAUACGCCUACAGGAAACAAGUCAUGCUUCUGAGGGUGCAAGCAAUCAGAACAAGUCAGGUAGGAAGAGUGAUACUGGGAUUAGGUUAGGCAAACAAUUGUUGGUAAAUCAGUCAAAUAGCCAAAGGUCAUCUCGGGAUAACAGUAGCCACCACUCAUUCUCAGUGCCAUUCGGCAUACCUCAUGAAAUUGAUGUUCAGGUUGGCUGCUCGAAGAACAUAACUGAUGAAAUACAACAGGAAGUGCCCCUCAGUCGCCUGGCAUCCCUUAACAAACCAGAGGUCCCAGUGCUUAUACUUGGUUCUGUUGCUUCUGCUAUCAGCGGAGUGAUAUUCCCGAUCUUUGCAAUACUUUUGUCGAAUGUGAUCAAAGCAUUCUAUGAGCCCCCAGAAAUGCUAAAGAAGGAUGCUGCGUUUUGGUCAUCCAUGUUCUUGAUAUUUGGUGCAGUGUACUUCGUGUCACUCCCUGUCGGCUCAUACUUUUUCUCGGUGGCUGGGUGCAAGCUCAUCAGAAGAAUCAGACUAAUGACUUUUGAAAAGGUGGUCAAUAUGGAGAUUGGAUGGUUUGAUGACCCACAUAACUCAAGUGGCUCAAUUGGGUCAAGGCUAUCGUCGGAUGCAGCAAAAGUUAGGGGGCUCGUGGGUGAUACACUUCAACUGGUUGUGCAAAACUCUGCAACAUUAGUUGCUGGCCUGGUAAUUGCUUUCGUAUCAAACUGGGAGCUAUCUCUUAUCAUUUUGGCGUUGAUACCACUCAUCGGCCUAAAUGGAUGGAUCCAGAUGAAAUUUAUCCAGGGAUUCAGUGCAGAUGCAAAGAUGAUGUACGAGGAGGCAAGUCAAGUGGCAAAUGAUGCAGUAAGUAGCAUAAGGACAGUGGCCUCAUUUUCUGCUGAAGAGAAGGUGAUGGAUUUGUACAACAAAAAGUGCGAAGGACCGCUACAAACAGGAAUCAGGACAGGAAUAAUAAGUGGUAUUGGUUUUGGAGUUUCCUUCUUUUUGCUGUUUGGAGUCUACGCAGCAAGCUUCUAUGCUGGUGCUCGGCUUGUCGAGGAUAAGAAAACAACAUUUCCCAAAGUUUUCAGGGUGUUUCUUGCUCUCACAAUGGCAGCAAUCGGGGUAUCGCACACUAGCACCCUCACCUCAGAUUCCUCCAGAGCAAGAUCAGCUGUAUCUUCUAUAUUCGCCAUCGUGGACCGUAAAUCGAUGAUUGACCCAAGCGAUGACGCCGGGGUGAAUUUAGAACCACUAAGGGGCGAUAUUGAGUUUCGGCACGUGCGGUUCAGAUACCCGACCCGCCCUGACAUCCAGAUCUUCGAAGACCUAUGCUUGACAAUCCAGUCAGGAAAGACUGUCGCGCUUGUCGGGGAGAGUGGCAGCGGUAAAUCGACGGCGAUAGCGCUGCUGCAGAGAUUCUACGAUCCUGACGCGGGCCACAUACUUCUGGACGGGGUGGACAUCCAGAAGUUCCAGGUGAGGUGGCUGAGGCAGCAGAUGGGGCUGGUGAGCCAAGAGCCAGCCCUCUUCAACGACACCAUCCGAGCAAACAUUGCAUACGGGAAGGAAGGGGAGGCCACGGAAUCAGACAUCGUAUCUGCCGCACAACUGGCGAAUGCCCACAAGUUCAUCAGCUCGCUCCAUCAGGGGUACGACACGGUGGUCGGGGAGCGCGGCGCUCAGCUGUCGGGAGGGCAGAAGCAGCGGGUGGCGAUCGCACGGGCCGUGGCCAAGGACCCCAGGAUCCUGCUGCUGGACGAGGCGACGAGCGCGCUGGACGCGGAGUCGGAGCGGGCGGUGCAGGACGCGCUGGACCGGGUGGCGGCGAGCCGGACGACGGUGGUGGUGGCGCACCGCCUGUCGACGGUCCGGGGCGCCGACGUGAUCGCGGUGGUGAAGGACGGCGCGAUCGUCGAGAGGGGCACGCACGACGCCCUGAUCGCCGUCAAGGGCGGCGCCUACGCGUCCCUCGUCGCCCUCCACUCCGCGUCGUCGGCGUCGUCGUAG
RNAcentral lists this ribosomal RNA (3831 nucleotides) under Triticum aestivum (bread wheat). Its description in RNAcentral is "partial small subunit ribosomal RNA". Lineage: Eukaryota; Viridiplantae; Streptophyta; Magnoliopsida; Poales; Poaceae. The record is from RNAcentral.